UCAAGCGAAGAAGGGCGCAGGGCGGAUGCCUUGGCACUGAGAGCCGAUGAAAGACGUGAUAAGCUGCGAUAAGCUUCGGGGAGGAGCAAAUAUCCUUUGAUCCGGAGAUCUCUGAAUGGGGAAACCCGGCUGUAUGGACUACAGUCAUCCAUAAGUGAAUCCAUAGCUUAUGGAAGGGAACCCGGGGAACUGAAACAUCUAAGUACCCGGAGGAAGAGAAAGAAACAUUCGAUUCCGUAAGUAGCGGCGAGCGAACGCGGAAGAGCCCAAACCGUGAUGCGUGCAUCGCGGGGUUCGGACUGCAUAAGGGAUUCAGUAACGGCAGGAGAACGGCUUUGGAACAGCCGGCCAGAGAGGGUGAGAGCCCCGUAUCCGAAGCCAGAGCUGACCCGGCAGGAUCCAGAGUACCACGGGACACGGGAAACCCUGUGGGAACGAGCGGAGACCACUCCGUAAGGCUAAAUACUACUCAGUGACCGAUAGCGUAUAGUACUGUGAAGGAAAGGUGAAAAGAACCCCGGGAGGGGAGUGAAAGAGAACCUGAAACCCUGUGUCUACAAGCUGUGGAAGUACUUCUUAAGUACGACCGCGUACUUUUUGUAGAACGGUCCGGCGAGCUGCGGGUACUGGCAAGGUUAAGCACUUCAGGUGCGGAGCCGCAGGGAAACCAAGUCUUAAGAGGGCGUUUUAGUCAGUACGUGCAGGCCCGAAACCGGGUGACCUAUCCAUGUCCAGGUUGAAGCCGCCGUAAAAGGCGAUGGAGGACCGAACCCACAUCCGUUGAAAAGGGUGGGGAUGAGGUGUGGAUAGCGGAGAAAUUCCAAUCGAACCCGGAGAUAGCUGGUUCUCCUCGAAAUAGCUUUAGGGCUAGCCUCAUACAAGUCUGCCGGAGGUAGAGCACUGAAUUUCCGCGGGGGCGUCAAAGCCUACCAAAGAAUAUCAAACUCCGAAUGCCGGACAGAUGGUGUAUGGGAGUCAGACUGUACGAGAUAAGUUGGACAGUCAAAAGGGAAAGAGCCCAGACCGCCGGCUAAGGUCCCAAAGUGGGUGUUAAGUGGAAAAGGAUGUGGGAUCUCUAAGACAACCAGGAUGUUGGCUCAGAAGCAGCCAUUCAUUAAAAGAGUGCGUAACAGCUCACUGGUCGAGAGGUCCUGCGCCGAAAAUGUCCGGGGCUGAAACACCACACCGAAGCCGCGGAACCCGUAAGGGUUGGUAGAGGAGCAUUCUUAGGGGAGUGAAGCAUUACCGGAAGGGGAUGUGGACCGCUAAGAAGAGAGAAUGCCGGAAUGAGUAGCGAGAGCAAGGUGGGAAUCCUUGCGGCCGAAUAUCCAAGGUUUCCAGAGUAAAGCUGAUCUGCUCUGGGUAAGUCGGGGCCUAAGGAGAGGCAGAGAUGCGUAUCCGAUGGACAGCAGGUUUAAGAUUCCUGCACCCCUUGUUAUCAGAACUGCGGGGACACGGGAAGGGAAGCAGAGCCGGGAAUGGAAAGCCCGGUGCAAGCGAAGUAGUCGCAGGGUUGGAAAAUCCGCCCUGCAUGAGACGAAGGCGUGAUGCGGAGCGAAAUGAAGUAGUGAAGCUGCGGCCCCUUCCUGUCGAGAAAAGCCGCUAUCGUGUAGCAAGGGCCCGUACCGUAAACCGACACAGGUGGAUGAGGAGAGGAUCCUAAGGCCGGCGGGAGAAGUGUUGUUAAGGAACUCGGCAAAAUGACUCCGUAACUUCGGGAGAAGGAGUGCUGCGCAAGCAGCCGCAGAGAAAUGGCCCAAGCAACUGUUUAGCAAAAACACAGGUCUAUGCGAAACCGGAAGGUGAGGUAUAUGGGCUGACGCCUGCCCGGUGCUGGAAGGUUAAGGGGAGAGCUUAGCGCGAGCGAAGGUUUGAACUUAAGCCCCAGUAAACGGCGGCCGUAACUAUAACGGUCCUAAGGUAGCGAAAUUCCUUGUCGGGUAAGUU
Molecule: ribosomal RNA, 1947 nt
Filed under: human gut metagenome
Description: bacterial LSU rRNA
Rfam family: Bacterial large subunit ribosomal RNA
Source: RNAcentral